GGAAGGUAAGCAAUUUGGCUAGCAGCUUGAUUGGAAAUCAAGUACGACUCUCAAGGUCUAACGGGUUCGAUUCCCGUACCUUCCGC
Molecule: transfer RNA, 86 nt
Filed under: Streptomyces phage BRock
Lineage: Duplodnaviria; Heunggongvirae; Uroviricota; Caudoviricetes
Description: tRNA-Ser
Rfam family: tRNA
About the family: Transfer RNA (tRNA) molecules are approximately 80 nucleotides in length. Their secondary structure includes four short double-helical elements and three loops (D, anti-codon, and T loops).
Source: RNAcentral